Long non-coding RNA from Mesocricetus auratus (golden hamster), 1042 nucleotides. RefSeq lists it as uncharacterized. The record is from RefSeq and is a predicted model, not a curated record. The transcript is spliced from 2 exons. NCBI's taxonomy places the organism in Eukaryota, Metazoa, Chordata, Mammalia, Rodentia, Cricetidae.
GCCUGUACUGAGGGUAUGAAGAAAAAAAUAUGAGGAAUUCAGAUAUAGAUAUAUAUAUAUGUAUAAUGUUUAAUAUACAGGUCAUGAAGAGUCAUCAACUCCUAUCAGGACUCUCAUAAAUACUCUAGCUUGGCAUCUGCACAUGGGUAACUAUAAUCACGUCUGUACAUAUUUCUUAUUCAUCCUAUAGGCAAGUUUUUUAAAGUACUUGUGCUGACUUUCUGAAAUGAACUAUAUGCUCUUAGUCCUUGUACUCAACUUACUCCCAGGAAAACAAGAGAAAGCCAAGGCAUGAUGGUUGACUAAAGACAACACUUUAAAGUCAAAGAUAAGACUAUAGUUUAGCAGUUCUCAACCUAUGGGUCAUGACCCCUUUGGGAAUUGCAUAUCAGAUAUGCUGAAUAUUAGAUACUUACAUUAUGAUUCAUAACAGUAGCAAAAUUACAGUUAUGAAGUAGCAACAAAAUAAUUUUAUGUUUGGGGGCAUCACAACAUGAGGAACUGUAUUAUGGGGUUGCAAUUUUAGGAAGGCUGAGAACCACUAACAUAUAUCAUUAUUGUAGUUCAACCUGCACAGAUGAGAACAGGAAGAUAAAGACCAAAGGAAUAAGUCACAGAAGUGAAGAACCAUCCUGAAGACUGAAGUUUCCAGAUCAUUCUAAAUUGGAGCAGAGAAGGCUGAGGCCUUACAGAUUCUCCAAGAGGACAUCUGAUAUAUCUUCCUUAUUAAAGAUGACACAGCAUAACUGAUGGGCCUGGUGCCUUGCCAGUUCCAACUUUUCUUCCUUUCUUUUUCUGAGAAUGCUGUUUAAUGCAUGGACAUUAUUUUUGGACUACUGAACGCCAGAAAAUAACGAGCUGGCAUUCAGCUUUGGUGAAUAAGACCCUGAAUUUUCAUCUAAAAGCAGUUUUGAGUUAUGGCUGUAGAUAAGGUGUAACUGUGCACAGGAAUUUUAUCCAUGUUUCUCCCAUGAAUCAUGAAUGAGGGAAAAAAUUACAGUCUAAAUUGCACUUAAAAGGAAUAAAGUCUUUUCAUGUCAUA